RNAcentral lists this non-coding RNA (3872 nucleotides) under Pan troglodytes (chimpanzee). Lineage: Eukaryota; Metazoa; Chordata; Mammalia; Primates; Hominidae. The record is from RNAcentral.
AUCCUGUUUUCCAGCUCCAUUCCAGGCAGCAUCCUCACGAACCAAAGAACGGCAUAAGGGGCCCCUGUUUCCUGAGACCCAGUCAGAGCUCCUAUACUCUCCCACCUUGUUCCUCUGAGCUGACAAAUGACAUCGGAGAGGGGACUAGGUUGGAAGGAAGACAAGGCAUUGCACUCACACGAGGAGGAUUCAGUCUUGGUCCCUAGGGCGAUGGUGAUGAGGAGGAAGAAGGGAAUGGCAGCCAUGGAGAUCUUCAUGCUGUGGGAAGCUGUUGCGGGAGGAGAGCUGGCCUGGUGGGAGCUUCAGAGGCUCCUGCGGUGAGGAAUUGUUGAGAAAUGAUCAUUGAGGCCAAAUAUUUUUUAAAAUAAGGGAGCUGAGACUUGGAAGGGAAGUAGGAAAGCAGUGAUGCCUCAGCAAUGUCAUAUCCUGCACAUGUGUUGUUGGUGGCCUGAAGGAAGCAGGGAGAGCCAAGGUUUAAGGCAGGAAAUGGUCUUCCAUCCCCAGUGGGAAGAAGUUCAACUCUUUUGAUAGAAGCCUUUCCCUAGGCAUGAACAUGAGCACAGGGCUGGGGGCACUGUCUCACACUUAGCAAAAGAUCUCAAGGCUGGAUGUGUCCUGUAUCCAAUUCCAUCUCAGGCCUUAGAACAGGCCACGUGGGGCCUGGACAUUCAGGAUCUGUUCAUCUGGAGACUAGAGGGUGUUUGGGGUAAUGGAAUGAGGCCAGGACUCCCCCAAGUCAGGUCUCAUUGGUCAAGGGAAAUCCUAACUUAAACUCGAAGCAGAACCCGCAGUUCUCAGUCUCAUCUCCAUUCUGGUCACCACACCAUGGAGUGAAGAAGUGCUGUGGUGCUCAGUAGAUAAUUCACUUAUAUAAUGGUUGCUAUACACACAAGCCACUGUCCCAGAUGCCUUAUGAAUAUUAGCCUAUUUAAUCUUUAGAACAGCAGUUGAGGAAACAGGCUCAGAAUCAAAGCCUAAGCUUUUGAUAGUUGGUAAAUGGAACUGGGGUUCAAAUUCAGGUGGUUUGGCUUCCAAGUCUGUGUUCUCACCCAUUAUGCCAUAAAGAAACGUGGGACUCCCAACGGAGCUCUGUAAAAGCUUAUGGGUUUUCUAUAAAGCCUUUAGUCUUAGUCCUUUCUGAAAUCAGAUAGUGGAUCUCUUUGGGACCUUCUCCUGGUUUCUCUGGCUUUUGCUGCAAAGAAGCUUGGUGGGAACCCUAGAAAAUGUCUAAUUCAGGGAUAGCUAGUAGGUUUCAUUGAUUAGUGGUGGACUGGUGCUCUGUGUUGGAAAUGAUUCUGAGGCCAUAUCCAGGCACAUUGGGAAGAUACGCUGUGACCAACGUGCAGUUUCUGUUGCAGUGCAGCUUGCAUGCUAUGUAUUUGCCAUUUGAUUUGUCUAAACUGGCCAUUUACUGAAUGGAAGCUGGGAAUCAGAAAGGACCAGUGACUUUCUCAUGUUCACACAGUGAUUUGGAUGCAGGACAGAUCUCAUCUCUGCAGGCUCUCAGCUUAGUGCCCUCACCAUGCUGUUCUUGGAGGUACAUCCCCCAUUCUGCUUGCUGAUGUGGUUAGAUGGUUAUUUAAUCUCCUCUCCUCAUCUGAAUCAUCAGGAUGGAGAACAUCUAUUAUUUAUCUUUGCCCAUUCACGCAGAACCUAGUGUAUACCAGGUGCUUUAUGAAUAUACAUUUUAAAAGAAGGAUGAAUAAACAAAUUGAGCCAGGUCUACAUAUGUGUAUCUUAUAGGAAAUGGCUGAAAUCUCAUGGUUAGUUGUGGAGACAGUCAUCAAUUAAAAAUUUUCUAUAUUUCUUAUCAUCAAUAACAACAUUAUGUAAACCCUUCAAGUUAAAUGAUAAUAAUUAUUAUCAGGAACAAUCUCAGGAAACAAGUUGUUUAUAGGAAAAGUGAGUUGGAAAGAAAUGAUGCUUACUUCUUGUUUUUGUGGAAACUAGCCAACCUGCCAAGUUGUUUCUAGGAGACUUACAGGAAGUUCCUGUACUUUUCCAGCAAGUAUUGAGUUCCUACCUACAUUAGUCUGUGUGUGCCAACUGCUAUCAUAAACAAUCCAGCAGACUAAUUAAAUAAAAGUUUAUUUCUUGCUCAUGUUACAGUCCAGUGUGGGUCAGUAGUGGGAUGAUGGUGUGUGUGCUGGGAUCCUCCAUGUACUCAUUCAGGAACCAGGCCUUUUUCUACCUUGGAUGCCACCAUUUUCAGCACAAGGCCUCCAAGCUUGAUACAAAAAGGGAGAGGCAGAGGCGGAUUGGGAGAUUUUUGUGGAUCAGUUCUGAAAAUGGUACAAAUUACUUUCACCCACAUUCCAUGGCCAGCAUCAAGUAACCUGGCUCCAACAUAAUGACAAAGGGAUGGAAAAUAUACAUCAUCUGUAUGCUUAGGAAGAAAAAGGAAUAGGUUUUGUGACCAUAUCACUUCUUUGACACAGUAUCAUAUGCCAAGUACUGGGCUAGGCUUGGAGGGAGGGAAUGAAGAUGACCCUGAUCCCAGAGGUCUCAGAACUCAAAGAGGGACUAAAAAAAGUAAAGGAGAAUUGCAAUACAACCAGAUGAAUGAAAUUUGAUGGCAACAUAAUUAGAGACCUUAAAUGUCCUCCUGUUGCCCCCUGUUGAGUAUGAAGAGCCUAUUUUAAAAAUAUUUAAAAUGUUUUUCAAAGCAACACAUACAUAUAUUGGUUUAAAAAAUUGAAUAGUACAGGAAGGAUCUGUAGGACAUAAACCUUCUGAGUUCACGCUUGCCUGAAGAAGUCAUUAUUUAGCCUUCAUACUUGAUUGAUAUUUUUGUUGGGUAUAGAAUUCUACAAUGGAAUAUAAGAAUAUGUUUCUUCUGAAACUCAUUUGUGGUGAUCUGGUGUUUCCCCUCUCUAGAAAAUUUUAGGGUUUAUUCUUUAAUCUUGUUUUCUUACUUUUUGGCACAAAUAGAUGUUCCAGACUCAUCUUGUACUUUCCUUGGCCCAGCUCUGGAAUUAGCCAUUUCUUCCAUGAGUCUCAGUUUCUUUUACUGAAAAAUGAUUUUGAGAAACCAAAAUCUGAGUGCUUGGUGUGUUCAUUGCUAUGGGAAUGGCAUCACUUUUAGAUCUGAGCUUUUAGUGGCUAGAACUUGGAAAUAUAUGUAAGCAUAUGUGUAUAAGUAUGUAUUUAAAUUUAUGUCUAUUUCAAGUAUAUCUAUUUCAUAUAUUAUUAGCAAUUUCUUUUUGUUUUUGUUUUUGAGAUGGAGUCUCACUCUGUCACCCAGGAGUGAGGUGGUGCAUUCUCAGCUCACUGAAACCUCUACCUCCGGGGUUCAAGUGAUCCUCCUGCCUCACCCUCUGGAGUAGCUGGGACUGCAGGUACAGGUCACCUUGCCCAGGUAAUUUUUGUAUUUUUAGAGAUGGGGUUUCGCCGUGUUGGCCAGGCUGGUCUUGAACUUCUGACCUCAGGUGAUCCACCCGCCUUGGCCUCCCAAAGUGCUGGGAUUACAGGCGUGAGCCACUGCGCUCGUCCUAUUAUUAGCAAUUUCUAUGUCCUCUUUCUAGCUAUAUGAAAAAACAAAAGUUUAUACCACUAUGUCCAAUUCCAAGUAAACACCACAGAGUUAUUUCAGUCUUUCCUGUUUCUAUGUUUCCCUCCCUCCUCUAACAAUGGGGACUCCUGCUCCCAUUAACCUCAAUGUAUGUACUUAUUUGCUGAGUUCCCUGUAUGUAACAAAUCUCCUGGCCACACUGGCUGUAUUCUGGCCUCUGGUCCCACUGGCCUCAACCAUGUGCAUCAUCUUCUCUGCCCUGGCCCUGGUUGAGCCCUCAGUUGAGGGGAUGAGUUAUAUUACUUUUAAAUCUUGUCUCUGGUUCUAAAAAGAAUAAAAAUAUGAAUGUUUCUAUUUCCUA